UGCCCAGCAACUCCUAUCCCUACCUCCUCGUGGUACUGGCCGGGGUACGAGUAACCUUAGGGAAGAUCUAGUAACCAACCCCGGUGGGAACUUUGGUCGUAUGCUGAUAGGGAAGG
Molecule: ribozyme, 116 nt
Filed under: Aedes aegypti (yellow fever mosquito)
Lineage: Eukaryota; Metazoa; Arthropoda; Insecta; Diptera; Culicidae
Description: drz-agam-1 ribozyme
Rfam family: drz-agam-1 ribozyme
Source: Rfam by way of RNAcentral